UACGGAGGGUGCAAGCGUUGUCCGGAUUUAUUGGGUUUAAAGGGUGCGUAGGCGGCAGAUUAAGUCAGCGGUGAAAUUCCACAGCUCAACUGUGGAACUGCCAUUGAUACUGGUUUGCUUGAGUACAGAUGAGGUAGGCGGAAUUGACAGUGUAGCGGUGAAAAUGCUUAGAUAUUGUCAAGAACACCUAUUGCGAAGGCAGCUUACUAAGCUGUAACUGACGCUGAGGCACGAAAGCGUGGGGAUCAAACAGG
Molecule: ribosomal RNA, 254 nt
Filed under: uncultured bacterium
Lineage: Bacteria
Description: partial 16S ribosomal RNA
Rfam family: Bacterial small subunit ribosomal RNA
Source: RNAcentral